RNAcentral lists this unclassified non-coding RNA (308 nucleotides) under Hevea brasiliensis (rubber tree). The record is from RNAcentral. Lineage: Eukaryota; Viridiplantae; Streptophyta; Magnoliopsida; Malpighiales; Euphorbiaceae.
AAGAGAGUUACAAGUGAAAGAUAAUAGUCAUGUAAGGUUUUAAUAGCAAGCAUAUACAAGCAAAACCAUUACAAGAUCUUUUAACAACGUUAAAUUGAUCACUUGAAACUCCUACGCUAGCUCAUUAAUAUCAUCAACCAGACCUUCAAUCUCAAUGGAGUAAGGCGCACUUUGUAUGGCUUGAAUAACAUUAAGAGCAUAUAGUAACCUUUGAAAAACCAUUACUCCCUAACCUUGAACAAUUAAUUGUAAUUAUCAGCUUCUUAAAUUAUACAGUUUUAAUUAUUAAUAUAUAAAUAUAAUAUAAA